Non-coding RNA from Trichonephila inaurata madagascariensis, 74 nucleotides. NCBI's taxonomy places the organism in Eukaryota, Metazoa, Arthropoda, Arachnida, Araneae, Nephilidae. The record is from the annotation of a GenBank genome assembly.
GCGCCCCGUGCCUAAUGGAUAAAGGCAUCGGUCUCCUAAACCGGGAUUGCGGGUUUUGAACCCCGCCGGGGGUA